GUUGUGCUCAAUUCUAGGAGACAUCUUUAUGGAGGGGAAAUGUCUCUGGGAGUAGUUGAAUGGUUCCUCACUGAAGUCUCUUCUGCUUUCCAGAGGACACCAAACUCCAUUUUGGUGACCACAAGAAUUUCAUUAAAGUUGAAUAUGUAGCUUGGCCCAAGGCCACUGGAGACAAGGAUGGUACCAAUAAGAGAAGCAACAGAGAUGAGUGAAUGCUUUGCUGCCCACAGUUUCCUUGCCCUAAUUUCUACCUCAUGUCCCUGUUUUCUUCUUUUCCUACCAUUUCUUCCUCUCCAAGUGCAGCCUUCCUGCCCAGACUAUAGAACUACAGGGGUCAGGAUUUCCUGUCCAGUUCCUUCCAGAUGCCUUGGCUCAUGCCCAGUGAGGAAGCUUCAGGUAGAUGAAAGAAGAUGAAACUACUCCUAGGAGAUCACAGCUGGUGAGAAAGAGUCCCUUGGAUGGAUGCUUGCCUGCCCCAGGAAGUAAUUCCAGAGCAGUCUUCCUCCUCAUUGGUUCUACAGGGGGAAGCAGGUAGUUGGGCUUGAAUGCACAGUGUCAUGGAUGCAAUGUACUUCAAGAAGCAAUGGUUAAGCACACUACUUGGCCCUGGAUCGAAAGGAUACAGAGAAAAAAGUAUUGAUUCCUGCCCUCAAUGGGAUAACAUUUUAGUAAUGGGGAAGAUUUCCAUUAGCAUUUGAGGAAGCAUUGAUGGAAGCCAGGGAUUCUACGAGGCAGAGAGGAAGAAGGAGUGCAGCUUGUUGUAGUAGGGGAUUGCAUUACAGUAAGCCCCAUGGAGGCUGAGUUUGCACUCUCAUGACUGCUCUGGAAUUAGAACUCAGCACUCAAAGGGAUAACCUAAAAGCCAGCUCAUGCCAAGCAACUUGAGCAAAGACCUGAGUGAGAAGAUGAUGCAUUCAUGGAAGGAAACAAGGAAGGAGAGAGCUAACAUUCUGAAAGACCUGGAGUCUUCACCACACUGAGCACAGUCUCUUUGUGACCGGACCUUUUUAUAGCUCAAGGAAGCCAAGGCACCCGAGGGAGCAGGAGAAUUCUUCUCUUUUUGGUGGAGAAGUCUGUUGUCCUUCAGGGGGUUUCACUUGCAUUGCACACUCUUGGGUAUGUCUUUGUUUUGGGGUCUACUGAAAACUGCCUGAAUCUUGGCCAUAUAGGGCAUCAAAGUCCAUUGUCAAGGAUGUGACCCUUACUCUUGCCAAGACCCUACUGAAAUCUUUGAAUUCUGACUCUUUUGAGAUCUUGCUCCUAUCUUCAAACCCUCAUCACUUCCUGGAAACUUUCUUACUGCCUAAAAAUGUGCCAAGGUCUUUCCUCUAAACUUCAAAAUGUUGUGAU
This is a non-coding RNA of Monodelphis domestica (gray short-tailed opossum), 1350 nucleotides long. The record is from RefSeq and is a predicted model, not a curated record. Lineage: Eukaryota; Metazoa; Chordata; Mammalia; Didelphimorphia; Didelphidae.